Phrynosoma platyrhinos (Desert horned lizard) is the source of this 71-nucleotide non-coding RNA. NCBI's taxonomy places the organism in Eukaryota, Metazoa, Chordata, Lepidosauria, Squamata, Phrynosomatidae. The record is from the annotation of a GenBank genome assembly.
ACUAGUGUGGUGCAGUGGUUUGAGCAUUGGACUAAGACUCCGGAGACCAGGGUUCAAAUCCCAGCUCAGUC